RNAcentral lists this ribosomal RNA (200 nucleotides) under uncultured bacterium. RNAcentral's name for it is "partial 16S ribosomal RNA". It matches the Rfam family "Bacterial small subunit ribosomal RNA", at positions 30 to 230 of the family's 1533-position model. The record is from RNAcentral.
AUUGAACGCUGGCGGCAGGCCUAACACAUGCAAGUCGAGCGGUAGAGAGAAGCUUGCUUCUCUUGAGAGCGGCGGACGGGUGAAUAAUGCCUAGGAAUCUGCCUGGUAGUGGGGGAUAACGUUCGGAAACGGACGCUAAUACCGCAUACGUCCUACGGGAGAAAGCAGGGGACCUUCGGGCCUUGCGCUAUCAGAUGAGC